RNAcentral lists this ribosomal RNA (397 nucleotides) under uncultured bacterium. RNAcentral's name for it is "partial 16S ribosomal RNA". It matches the Rfam family "Bacterial small subunit ribosomal RNA", at positions 523 to 918 of the family's 1533-position model. The record is from RNAcentral.
AUACGUAGGUGGCGAGCGUUGUCCGGAAUUACUGGGCGUAAAGGAUGCGUAGGUGGAUACUUAAGUGGGAUGUGAAAUCCCCGGGCUCAACCCGGGAACUGCAUUCCAAACUGGGUAUCUAGAGUGCAGGAGAGGAAAGCGGAAUUCCUAGUGUAGCGGUGAAAUGCGUAGAUAUUAGGAGGAACACCAGUGGCGAAGGCGGCUUUCUGGACUGGAACUGACCCUGAGGCAUGAAAGCGUGGGUAGCAAACAGGAUUAGCUACCCUGGUAGUCCACGCCGUAAACGAUGGGUACUAGGUGUAGGAGGUAUCGACCCCUUCUGUGCCGUCGUUAACACAAUAAGUACCCCGCCUGGGGAGUACGGUCGCAAGACUAAAACUCAAAGGAAUUGACGGGG